UUAUUUAUCUGCAGGGGAGAUAACAUGAUCACAAAGGUGGUUUCCCUAGGGUAGGGUUUAUCCAUUGCACUCCCAGUGUGCUGACCCCUGCAAUAUCCUCAACGUGGGAAACUGGACUGCAUAAUUUUUGGUAGUAGGGCAUUACGUUCACAAAAGAUUUUU
Molecule: small nuclear RNA, 162 nt
Filed under: Microcebus murinus (gray mouse lemur)
Lineage: Eukaryota; Metazoa; Chordata; Mammalia; Primates; Cheirogaleidae
Description: U1 spliceosomal RNA (ENSMICG00000018275.3)
Rfam family: U1 spliceosomal RNA
About the family: U1 is a small nuclear RNA (snRNA) component of the spliceosome (involved in pre-mRNA splicing). Its 5' end forms complementary base pairs with the 5' splice junction, thus defining the 5' donor site of an intron.
Source: RNAcentral